UUCUUAUUUGUAUACUCCCUGUAUACACUUUUUUUUAUUUUUAAUAAACUAUCCUGAUGCCGUUUCCUUGUUCUGUUGAACCUUAAGUUGUCCUUGUGUCAUAGUUGGAGGUAUAGAGUAUAGACACUGAAUAUAUGGAAUGUUUCUUAUGAAUUGCAUUAGGAAAUUCAACUAAAAUCAAUGGGUCCGGUUAAUGUAUACCCUUAGGGCAUAUAUUAACAAAUCCGUUUUUGGAAUAUGCAGUUAUGAUUAAACUUCCAUUUGUGAUAAAGUAUGGCUAGCUUACGCAAUCAUGGAGAUCAGCUGAGUGUCUGCCACAACAAAUAUGGGGCUUUUUUGCAUUAUAUCUUUCUUUUUUUCCUCCUCUUUUGUCAACAAUUAUAGAGGAUAAAUUUUGAAAGUGUCCUUUUAUAUGGUCUGUAAAGAGAAGCGACUCUUGAAAAUGUUUCCCAACACCGUUUUUGGGACAUUGUGAAAAUCAUUAAUAGAUGAUUUGCGAAUCAAGAUGCUUCAGUGGCAGGCCAGCCAGGAGUAUAUGUACUUGAAGAUGGCAUUGAAGCCAGGCUUACAUGGAAUGUUGAGAGACCCCAUUUUGUGUCUUUACAUCUGGUGAAGAGGGUCAGAUAAAAUAUUAGUUUGUUGCCUCACUCUUGGAGCUAGAACCUGUUUGUAACCAGCAAAAUUGCUUAUUUGGCAUCAAACUUUCUCUGUGUACUAUUUUAUCUAAAGAAAAGCGCUUAAUUUCUCAUAUUACAUGAA
This is a long non-coding RNA of Quercus lobata, 759 nucleotides long. RefSeq lists it as uncharacterized. The transcript has 2 exons. Lineage: Eukaryota; Viridiplantae; Streptophyta; Magnoliopsida; Fagales; Fagaceae. The record is from RefSeq and is a predicted model, not a curated record.